UUUUCGACCGUCGGAUCAGAUGAAUCGAAAAAGAUCAACGAACAGAAAUUAUCAAGAGGUGUGUGAGAAGUAAAAUGAGAUGUAUGAAUAGCACACCUUUUUAUAUAAAUGGCGGUUCAAUCAAUUUGAUAUGAUUAUAUAUUAACAGAUCACCCGUUAAGAAUUUAAGUAGUCAGAUCUAUUAUCAGGAACCUGUUAAUAAAUUAGGUCAUCCAAGUUGGGUUGUUAUUUGGUUACUCAUUAAUAAGUUGGCCAUCUUAUUGGGAGGAAGUGUUUGACACGCGUGGGGGAUGAAUGAGAUAUGUUUUAGGAUAAAGUACAAAAAACUACCUCAAUUAUUU
Molecule: long non-coding RNA, 341 nt
Filed under: Malus domestica (apple)
Lineage: Eukaryota; Viridiplantae; Streptophyta; Magnoliopsida; Rosales; Rosaceae
Description: long non-coding RNA (MDOM_LNC014386)
Source: RNAcentral